This 70-nucleotide transfer RNA is filed under the name Urocitellus parryii (Arctic ground squirrel). Its description in RNAcentral is "Spermophilus parryii (Arctic ground squirrel) tRNA". It matches the Rfam family "tRNA". From Rfam's summary of the family: Transfer RNA (tRNA) molecules are approximately 80 nucleotides in length. Their secondary structure includes four short double-helical elements and three loops (D, anti-codon, and T loops). RNAcentral also lists the same sequence under 3 other names. Lineage: Eukaryota; Metazoa; Chordata; Mammalia; Rodentia; Sciuridae. The record is from Rfam by way of RNAcentral.
GGGGAUAUAGCUCAGUUGGUAGAGUGCUUGCCUUGCAUGCACAAAGCCCUGGGUUCAAUCCCCAGCACCA